Molecule: long non-coding RNA, 299 nt
Organism: Orcinus orca (killer whale)
Lineage: Eukaryota; Metazoa; Chordata; Mammalia; Artiodactyla; Delphinidae
Exons: 2
Source: RefSeq, a predicted model, not a curated record
CUUCCCUGGUGGCACAGUGGUUACGAAUUUGCCUGCCAAUGCAGGGGACAUGGGUUCGAGCCCUGGCCCGGGAAGAUCCCAUAUGCUGCGGAGCAGCUAAGCCCCUGCGCCACAACUGCUGAGCGGCCCCUGCUCGCCAUAACUAGAGAAAGCCCGCACACAGCAACGAAGACCCAGUGCAGCCAAAAAUAAAUAAAUAAAAAUAAAUUUAUAAAAAAAAAAAAAAAAAAAAAAAAAAGAACUGCCAAUUUAUACAAAAAAAAAAAAAAAAAAAAAAAAAAAAAAAAAAAAAAAGAUAA